RNAcentral lists this unclassified non-coding RNA (284 nucleotides) under uncultured fungus. RNAcentral's name for it is "partial contains small subunit ribosomal RNA, internal transcribed spacer 1, and 5.8S ribosomal RNA". The stretch from base 1 to 73 matches the Rfam family "Eukaryotic small subunit ribosomal RNA", at positions 1759 to 1831 of the family's 1831-position model. The record is from RNAcentral. Lineage: Eukaryota; Fungi.
GCAAACUUGGUCAUUUAGAGGAAGUAAAAGUCGUAACAAGGUCUCCGUAGGUGAACCUGCGGAGGGAUCAUUAUUAGAGUGUAAAACUCCCUAACCCUUUGUGAAUCUACCUGUAAUUGUUCCUUCGGUAGGCGGUUCCUGGGAGGAACCUAUGCCUGUGAGGGUGUCUACCGAAGAACACACAGAACUCUGUUACAGUGGUGUUAUUCUGAGUAACUAAAAAAAUAAAAAUAAAAACUUUCAACAACGGAUCUCUUGGUUCUGGCAUCGAUGAAGAACGCAGC